Molecule: long non-coding RNA, 1476 nt
Organism: Peromyscus leucopus (white-footed mouse)
Lineage: Eukaryota; Metazoa; Chordata; Mammalia; Rodentia; Cricetidae
Exons: 2
Source: RefSeq, a predicted model, not a curated record
UCGUCCAGUAUUCACCCCAAAUACUUGGCUCAGGUUUGUUUUAUUAAUAAGAACUUUUAAGAUUCAUGCUACAUGACAUCAUGAAAUAUAGUUUGUGGUAGGAGUUACUAAAAAAUAUGCAAUAUGCUGAGUAAGUGAUAAAUGCUUUGAUAAAAUAGAAAUGCAAAAAGAAAGUGAAACAAGGUUUUCAAUAGUCUUUUUUUUUUUAAUCUUUUACUGGAAGGUUUUUUGUUUGUUUGUUUUGAGAUAGGGGCUCACAUAGCCUAGGCUGUACUAGAACUUAAAAUGUAAUUGGUAAUGACCUUAAACUUCUGAUCCUCAUGCUUUAGCCUCCCAGGAGCUGGAGUCACACCAUGCCCGGUCUCUGCAAUACUGCGAAUUGAGUCCAGGGCUUUGCAUCUCUAAGCAAGUACUUCACCGAUUGAGCUCUAGCUCUAGCCUUGUAGUUUAAAAGGGGCUCUAUUAAUUGUUUGAGAAUUUCGUACAAUGAAUUUUGUACCUUUUCUCCCAACUCCCCCCAGGUCCACUCAUACCUCCCUGCUCACUUCUGGUCCUUUGGUUUUGUAACAAUUUGUGCAGCCUAAAUAAUCUUGGGUAUGGAGCCACUCCUUGGAAUGUGGUCAAAGUACCAGGGAUCACACCCUGGAAAGAAACUGGUUGUCCCUCUCCCCAUGUGGAAAACAAAAGGAAGAAGAGCAACCAGCAGAAGAGACUCAUGGAAACUAAUGAGGUCAGAAGGAACUGAAGUCACAGAAGCAUAAUGAAAGAUGUUUCCAGAAGAGCCUCUAUGAGGCUAUAUGAUUCCUUUGUGAAAACCAAAGAAGCAAAAAGUCCUGUCUCUUUCUCAAGUAAAAAUAAUUACUUUAUAUGGUGCCAGGGAUUGAACAGAGCUCAAUUUUUGAAAGCUAGGCAAGUAAUCAACUGCUACUGAACUGUAUCCCUAGCCAGUAGGUGUCAAUUUUCAGGCAGUAUAAUUCGUUUAGCACCAUUAAUAAAUUUUUCUUGAACACCAUUGCUCAACUUUUGCUGAUUAAUUUCUAAUGUUAUUUAGUGCUUACAGGAGCACAUGUGAUUGGAUGACUCGUAUUUUCUGUGGUCAUGACUUUGAAAACUGGGUGUUGAGACUCUCCAAAUGCUUCUCAGGAAACUAAGGAAACAGGAAUGGGGUGUAGGGGAGUGUCAGUUGACUGUAGCAUGUUCAAAUCACUAGUCUAAACUCAACCCCACCUCCAGAAUUGAAGAUAUAUAUCCUCAAAUAUUUGACAGAUUCCAUAGUAGAGAUGUUGAACUUGUAUUGUAUGAACCUGAAAGGAAGAACUUAGAACUUGCUCAUAUUUCAUCCACAAAAGAAAAUGUUGAUAUUUUCAGUUGUGCAAAUAUCAUUAAGACAAUAUCAAAGCACUUCUGUGAUCUAUUCUUCAGAGAAGUCUGAGUUGGCAAUUAUUUACCAAUAAACAUGAAAUAAGAUGUUUCCCA